Odocoileus virginianus texanus is the source of this 6016-nucleotide non-coding RNA. The record is from RefSeq and is a predicted model, not a curated record. Lineage: Eukaryota; Metazoa; Chordata; Mammalia; Artiodactyla; Cervidae.
UGGAAGCAUAUCCAAGAUGAAUGGGUGUGGGUGGCAGCAGAACCUGCUGACAUGACGAAUCAUGGGGACGAUGCACUGUCCUCUAGAACUGGUGCUCCAGAUGGGGAUGAUCGACUCUCUGAGGACAGAUCCUUGGUCCAGCAGAGGCUGGCUGUCAGGGAACUCAUUGACACCGAGGUCUCCUACUUGCACGUGCUCCAGCUCUGUGCCUCUGACAUUAGGAGCCGUCUGCAGCAGCUGCCACAGGGAGAUCUGGAUGUCCUGUUCUCAAACAUCGAUGACAUCAUCAAGGUGAACAGAAGACUGCUUCAUGAUCUGCAGGAGACAGCCUCCAGGGAAGAGGAACAAGUGCAGCUGAUCGGUAAUGCAUUUCUGGAAUUCCAAGAGGAGUUGGAGCAAGUCUAUAAGGUAUACUGUGCCAGCUAUGAACAGGCCUUGCUGCUGGUAGAGACCUACCGGAAGGAGCCAGAGCUGCAGCGGGAGAUCCAGGGCAUCAUUGAGGCAGUGCUGCCGCAAGCUGGACCUUCAGGCCUCAGUUUCUUGCUGGUAAUUCCUCUGCAGAGGAUUACCAAAUACCCAUUGCUGCUGCAGAAAAUUCUGGAGAACACACUCCCUGAUACCAGUGCCUACGCUGUCCUUCAGAGGGCUACCUCUGCCCUCCAGGAUGUGGUCACCAACAUCAAUGAGUACAAGAGGCGCAAAGAAGUGGCCUCCAAGUACACCAAGGUGGAGCCUCUGAGCCUCCGGGAGCGACUGGCUCGCAUCAAUACACACACCCUCUCCAAGAAGACCACCCGACUGAGCCAGCUGCUGAAGCAGGAGGCGGGGCUCGUUCCCAGGACGGAAGACAAGGAAUUUGAUGACUUAGAAGAGAGGUUCCACUGGGUGUCGCUGUGUGUGACCGAGCUGAAGAGCAACAUGGCUGCUUACCUGGACAAUUUGGAGGCUUUCCUCCGCUUCUGGCCCCAGGACUGCAAUCUGGAAAUCCCCGGGGGGCCUGUGGUACAGUACUGUUACCUGGCAAGAGACCUGCAGCUCCAGGCCUUCCCAGAGUUUAAGCAGCAGCUGGAAGCCCAGGUGUGGCAGCCAUUGUGCAGCCUGGCCAAAACCUUGGCAGGCCCUCAGAACCUGAUCAAGAAGCGUCUGGACAAACUACUGGACUUUGAGAGGGUGGAAGAGAAGCUGUUGGAGGUGGGCAGCGUGACCUACGAGGAGGAGGCAGCCCGGCACACGUACCAGGCACUCAACUCCCUGCUAGUGGCUGAACUCCCACAGUUUAACCAGCUGGCUAUGCGGUGGCUCGGCCAGAUCCUCUGCACAUUUGUGACUCUCCAGAGGGACCUUGCAAAGCAAGUGCUUCAGAGGGCAGAGGACAGCUUGGCCCAGCUCCCCCACCACCACCUGUCUGAGCCGGCCUUCAGGAAGCUGGUGGAGGAUGCACUAGGCCAGACCAGUCACCAGCUUCACUCCUUUCAAGAGAACUUCGAGAAAGUGCUGCCACCUCCCACCACACAACCACUCCUUCCAGGGGCUGAACGCCAGGUGCAGGCGCUCCUGAGCAAGUAUGGCCCGGGAAAGUUGUACCAGGUGACAAGCAACGUCAGCGGGGCUGGGACUCUGGACCUGACCCUGCCUCGGGGCCACAUCGUAGCCCUCCUUCAAAACAAGGACACCAAAGGCAACAGCAGCCGAUGGCUGGUGGACACUGGAGGACAUCGAGGGUACGUGCCAGCUGGAAAACUGGAGGUGUACCACGUGGUCCCCAGUGAGGAGGAGCUCAGAGGGCAGGCGAGGCCUCACAGAGACUUCCAACAUCAGACACCAGAGUCCACCUCAGCCCCGGUCCCCUCUGUCCCAACUGUGACCCAGGUGGUGGCCAUGUACCCCUUCGUGGCCAGAAGCAGCCAUGAAGUGAGUCUGCAGGCAGGCCAGCGGGUGACUGUGCUGGAGGCCCAGGACAAGAAGGGGAACCCAGAAUGGAGCCUCGUGGAAGUGAACGGACAGAGGGGCUACGUGCCUUCCAGCUUCCUGGCCAGGGCCCCAAGUCCAGCUCCAUGGGGCUGGAGUUUGCCUUCUUAGGGUGCCCUCCUUAAUGUCCAUGUUCCAGGAGGGUUAGAAGCUGUGACCCUGGGAAGGAAAGGAAGCAAAGUUGGGGGUGGAUAGGGAGAUCAGGUUAGGGCGGGGUGAAGGGCACAGAGAAGGUAGCCGGAAGAGGGAAAUGAGCCUUUUGAAACGCCCAGUGUGUGUGGGCAUGAAAGGCCCCAGCCAGGGCAGCUCAUUAUGUCUGCCUGGAGAGGGCGUUUCAACCUGAGUCACAGCACCCUGGAUGGCAGGUCCCAGCUGAUGCACCAGGAUUUGCUUGUGGCCGGUCUUACCUGUGCUCAUGCCCCAGCCUGUCCAUGGGAGUGGGUCACCUAGAUGAGCAUUACCUGUGUGCUGUGUGGUUGCAUGGAGGGCCCCUGGAGAGUCCAGAACUGCCUGGCUUGACAGCUAACUUCCUUCCUGUGAUAUAGAGACACCAUAGCUGACCAGUUGGCUUUUAUUUCUCCACAGUGGGAGCUGAAUUACCUUAGGCAGUGAACACACAGGAACCCUCUCUAGCAGGGAGCGAGGGCUUGUCAGGGCAGUAGAAAGGUUCCCAGGAGUCUUUUGGCUGGGCCUGGAGUGGGUGUGAGCAAGUCACAAUUCUGGAAUGUGUGUAGGCAAGUGCAGAGGCUGCUCCAGGGGAGAGGGGUUUUUGAGGGUGUGUUAGGUGGGGUGUAUGAAGUUGUACAGUUGAGGUGUGUGUUAGGUUGGCAGCAGUUGUACACUGCUGCUGUGUUCUCUGGACUAGGGGACAAAGGGCCAUGCAAAUCUCAGAGGAAACUGUGAAGCAGGUAACUAAAGGCCUGGUGGGUGGGUUAUGACUUGGUUUCCUGUUUCUGGAAGAAGGGGAGCCAGGGGAACCCCUGGUGGUUUCAGAAGGGUGCUUAAGGCCUGGAGGCCACAGUGGAGGUGAUGUCAGUUGGCUGUGAAACCUCAGACAUAGGACACAACCUCAGUUUUCACAUCUAUUAAGACCUAACCCAGGCUUGUGAUGAGAAUGAGGAGAUGCCAAAGUUGUCGAAGCUCCUUGUAAAUCAUGAAGUGUGACAUAAUUGCAGGAUGUGCAGAAAGUGGUCUCAGGAUGGCCCCAGGCAUCAACUGACCACUCUCCAUGCCCAUGGCCAUGACCAACAUUAAUAAUCAGUGUGGCAUCCUUUCCUUUAAACCCAUGAUCCCUCCCACUGCUGCAUUCUAGGUAACCAAACAUUUGAACUUGGUGAGAUCACAUUAAUUGUCAUCCCUUUCUAGAACCUAGAAAUUGAAGCCUCUCAAAAGAGUUCCUGUUCAAGGAAGACUGACCACUGGGGCAAAUUUGGGUGCAGCAGCUGUUGGAUCAUCACUUCUAAGUUGUUGCUUUGGGCUCAGAUAAGUUGCAAGAUUCACAGGAGAGAGAAAAGGUUUCUGUAACGUUAACUUCUCUCAAACCAAUGAACAGCCCCUGAAGUGGGCAAUGUGGAAGUUAUUUGCUUGAGGAGAAGGAUGUGGAGUUCAGAAAGCUCCGGCAGCUUGCUCAAAAUCACACAGCAAGUUAAUGACCAAGCUAGAAACGAGGAUCAAGACUCCAAACUUCCAGUGCAAUAGGAGGAAAUGGAGGCCCAGGGAACCUAGGUAACUUGCCUAACUGCACAAGAGUAGUGAGUAAUGGAGACAAGAUUUGCACCCUGGUCCCUGUGUGACUACCAGGCCUCAGUUCUACAGAGUAGCUCUCUCCUUCAGCCAGCUCAUGGGGAUUUGAAAAACAAAGAAUUCUGUGAACUACAGACCUCAUUCACAUCUCCAGUCAUCCAUCCAUCCGACAAAUGGAUAUUUACAGGAAACCCAAUGGGUGCCAGCCAGCAAUAUGUGCUGGAGAUGCCGUAAUGACUAAGGACCAGACCCUGCCCUCAAGGAGCUCACAGUCUGGCAGAAGAAACAGAUGAAUGCCUGACCAGUUAUAGGAAGCUUAAAACAGAAGUGUCCAUGGCAAGCUAGGAAAAUAUAGACCAAAGAACAACACAUUCUGUGUAGAAGGAUCUUGAAGGUGGUGUGGAGGCACUGGGCUUUGUACUGGUCCAGGAAGGUGGAACAUGCAGCAAAGGGCUUAUGAGGAGAAGGAAACAGCACAUACAAAGUGCAGGACCUUCAGAAGGCAGGGAAUUGGGUGUAGCACGAAGUCUCAGGGAGCAGCCAGUGAAUUCCACUCGCUAAACAUUUAGGGAGCAUCUGUGACAGGUCAGGCUUCUGGCUAAGGGUUUGCUGAUGAGAUAGAAAAGCUAUUUGGGAUUAGAUUCCAGAAGACUUCGAAUGUUGUUGUUCUAUCUCUUUUCCAAUAGCACAAAUUUAAAAUGUGGAUGUGAAUUUAUCCCUUUUCCCCUAGGAGAGACAAAGAUCUUCCCCACUCAUGGGGCCUCUCAAGUGUCUUCAGCUCAGGCAUCCCCACAUUAGGGAAGGAACUGGGUGGUAGGGGGGGAGGGAGUAUUCAUACUUUCUGCACCCUGAGUUCUGUAAUUCCACACAUGUGCCAAAGAGACUGGGAAACCAGUUAUUAGGGAAAAUUUCCCCUGGAUUGUUAGCAAAGUUGAGCUGUGCUCAGAAGGUUCCAGUUGGGCUUCUCAAUGAAGACCCAGAACCACUAGCACUACCCUCGUAGCUCCCAAGCUCUGGAGGGGCUCUGGGGAAGGGGGAGUCACUCUCUGUGAUGUGUCUUUCAUGUACUAAGCCGAAUGACCUUGGCCUGAAUCGCUGAGGGUUAUGUAAGAUUAGGUAGCCACUUAGUCAAAAAUAGCUUUCAUGCUGACUCCAGCCCGCAGAACAUCAUCCAAGCAAAGGGGGCACAUAUGGGCCAGGGCUGGGCACACAUGGGGAAAUUCCCACCCUUGUCCUCACCACUGAAAAAUGACUUGAGAGUGCAAGAUGGAACUUCAGAACUGCUGACAGGUGAUGUCCCAUGCUUGUCUGUUUGGCAGCAGAAAUAUGGCUGUUGUGCUGAAGCACAGAAACCAAAGGAUCAUAAAGACAGAAAUCCAGUACAAACAUUCAAAUAAAGUAAGAGGGUGCAGAGCACAGAGACAACGCUGGGUUAGGAAAUCUUCAGAUCUGCUAUUACCAUUGACAUUCUAGAGCCAGGCACUUUCUUUUAUUUGUUUGACAAAUACCCCCUGAGCUUGCCACCCUGUGCCAGAGGCUGUGGCAGCCCUGGAGGCACAAAAGUCAGUGAUAGUUGCUGUUCCUGUUCUCAGGGAAUUUCAGCUUGUGGUGAUCUGUCUUCUACCCCAUCCUAAUAAUAAGUAACCUUUUCUGACACCUUCCCUGUGCCAGGCACUUUGCAAGACAUUGGCACUCACAGUGAAAAAGCCAGACGCAGUCCCAUGCUACAUGCAGCUUACAGUCUAGAGGAAGUAAGAGAUAAAAACAAAAACCAGACAAAUAAAUUGUCUUUAUGGUGGAAAUUCUAAUAAAGAUGUGCUGAGGGCCCUUCUAGAUCUAGAGGAAGACAUGUCUGUUGAAUGGUACUGUUUCUGAUGUGUUCAAGGUUUCUGCCUUGUGAAGGAAUAUGUGAAGAUCCCCAUUCUGCCCCUCUGGAAGUGACACUGGGGAAAAAUCAUCUGGACCUUGUGUAAGGAAUAGGCUCCUCACCCACUGCUCUUCAGAAUUCUGAUAUUUUUGGAGGACGAUUUGCAACAUUCAUUAGCACUUUAAAAAGAUAGCCAAUAUUAAGGGAUUAUUGAAACAUAUUAUAUAUCCAUAAAGUGCCAUGAAUGAUGAGGUAGCCCACAUAUCCACUCUAUACCACUAACAAGAAAAGAAGUCCAAAUGUUAAGUUAAAAUUUUUUGGAUUCAAUAAGUUGUGUAUAGAGAAAUUAUGAAGUUUGUGUAUUGUUGAUGGAAACAUGAAAUGGUGCAGCCACUAUGGAAAACAGUUUGACAGUUCCUUAAACAAUUUAAAAGAGAA